AAUAUUUGACAAUGGGCGAAAGCCUGAUCCAGCCAUGCCGCGUGUUUGAAGAAGGUCUUCGUAUUGUAAAGCACUGUAAGUUGGGAGGAAGGGCAGUAAGUUAAUACCUUGCUGUUUUGACGUUACCGACAGAAUAAGCACAGGCUAACUUCGUUCCACCAGCCGCGGUAAUACGAAGGGUGCAAGCGUUAAUCGGAAUUACUGGGCGUAAAGCGCGCGUAGGUGGUUUGUUAAGUUGGAAGUGAAAGCCCCGGGCUCAACCUGGGAACUGCUUUCAUAACUGCCGAGCUAGAGUACGGUAGAGGGUAGUGGAAUUUCCUGUGUAGCGGUGAAAUGCGUAGAUAUAGGAAGGAACACCAGUGGCGAAGGCGACUACCUGGGCUAAUACUGACACUGAGGUGCGAAAGCGUGGGGAGCAAAC
RNAcentral lists this ribosomal RNA (421 nucleotides) under uncultured bacterium. Its description in RNAcentral is "partial 16S ribosomal RNA". It matches the Rfam family "Bacterial small subunit ribosomal RNA", at positions 360 to 773 of the family's 1533-position model. The record is from RNAcentral.